UAGGGAAUAUUGGGCAAUGGGCGCAAGCCUGACCCAGCAACACCGCGUGAAUGAUGAAGGUCUUCGGAUUGUAAAGUUCUGUGAUGGGGGACGAAGAAAGUGACGGUACCCCAAUAGCAAGCUCCGGCUAACUACGUGCCAGCAGCCGCGGUAAUACGUAGGGAGCAAGCGUUGUCCGGAAUGACUGGGCGUAAAGGGUACGUAGGUGGCUAUUCAAGUUAGUGGUGAAAUUCCGGGGCUCAACUCCGGCGCUACCACUAAGACUGUUUAGCUUGAGUGCAGGAGGGGUAAGUGGAAUUCCUAGUGUAGCGGUGGAAUGCGUAGAUAUUAGGAGGAACACCAGUGGCGAAGGCGACUUACUGGACUGUAACUGACACUGAAGUACGAAAGCGUGGGGAGCAAACAGG
RNAcentral lists this ribosomal RNA (407 nucleotides) under uncultured prokaryote. RNAcentral describes it as "bacterial SSU rRNA". It matches the Rfam family "Bacterial small subunit ribosomal RNA", at positions 355 to 776 of the family's 1533-position model. The record is from RNAcentral. RNAcentral also lists the same sequence under 1 other name.